RNAcentral lists this long non-coding RNA (596 nucleotides) under Cricetulus griseus (Chinese hamster). Its description in RNAcentral is "lncRNA (ENSCGRG00015035516.1)". Lineage: Eukaryota; Metazoa; Chordata; Mammalia; Rodentia; Cricetidae. The record is from RNAcentral.
CAGGACACCCAAAUAUGAAGAGUACAAGACCGCAGUAGCCUGGCCAGUGCACACAAUGGAAGUGACAGCUUUCAGCCCCUCCAGCCCUGAUCCCUGGAUUCCAACUCCCUACUACCUCCUCCCAGCACCUCAGGAGUGGGGAGGAAGUGUCCAAGAGAGCCGAACAUUCUCCCUGUUCCUCCCUGCUCCUCCCAGGCCUUUCUGGGAAAGCCUGGGGACAGAACUGCCCACCUCCUGACAGCUUGUAAAGUGAAGAGUCAGCUUUGGGCUUUUGAGGAAGGACUGGAAGUGCCCGGCCACUCCCAUCCCCGGAUCCAGGAUGAUGACCCUAAGGGCAGAGCUUCCUCCAUCUUCUAGAAGAAUAUCGAAACCAGGCAGAGUUGGAAAAGGAAGGGAAGGGAAGCAGCCAGACCUUCAGAGUGAUUCACACACAGGAACUGUCUCUGGAGCAGGAGCCUCUGUUUCACGGAACCUAUUAAAUUAUCUCUUCAGCAAGUUACCCACUAGCCAAGUACACUUACAUAAUCCAACAUAUUCUAAAAAUAUAAAUACUUAGUCUUGAAGAUUUAUGAUGGGUUCUCAUUAUAUAAAUCUCU